Molecule: long non-coding RNA, 411 nt
Organism: Triticum aestivum (bread wheat)
Lineage: Eukaryota; Viridiplantae; Streptophyta; Magnoliopsida; Poales; Poaceae
Exons: 4
Source: RefSeq, a predicted model, not a curated record
CUUGUCUAGAUCUAUAGGUAUGUCUUGUCAGAUAUAUUUUUAGUUGGUUAAAUAUUAUGCAUUGGUUUUAUUGUACUUGACAAUUGCAUUUUAGGUGAUUUUCAUUUCAAGUCGAAUGAAUGUUUGCUCCGUACACAACAGAUUGUGACAUGUACCCCAAGUAUCCACACUGAGGAAAUAACUGAUGAUUCAAAGCAUCUUCUUAUAGCCACUAGUGCUUUCUGGGACACCAUCUCAUGUCAGAGUGCUGUUAACUAUUUGAGGCAGUAUUCCGGGUCCUACAGUCUUGCUAGCAUCUGUGACAAGCUUCUGAAUCAAAUUAAAAACCCAGUGGACAACCUGACACUGAUGCUGAUCUACUUUAAGCCCAGCGCCAGGCUCCCUCCUACUGCCCCGCCUGCACCCAUGUUU